UACGGAGGAUGCAAGCGUUAUCCGGAAUGAUUGGGCGUAAAGGGUCCGCAGGUGGCAAUGUGUGUCUGCUGUCAAAGAAUGAGGCUUAACCUCAUCAAGGCAGUGGAAACUACAUAGCUAGAGUACGGUCGGGGUAGAAGGAAUUCCUGGUGUAGCGGUGAAAUGCGUAGAGAUCAUGAGGAAGACCAGUGGCGAAGGCGGGUCUCUGGACAGUUCCUGACACUGAGACACGAAGGCCAGGGGAGCAAACGGG
This 253-nucleotide ribosomal RNA is filed under the name uncultured bacterium. Its description in RNAcentral is "partial 16S ribosomal RNA". It matches the Rfam family "Bacterial small subunit ribosomal RNA", at positions 524 to 776 of the family's 1533-position model. The record is from RNAcentral.